RNAcentral lists this ribosomal RNA (1488 nucleotides) under uncultured rumen bacterium. Its description in RNAcentral is "bacterial SSU rRNA". It matches the Rfam family "Bacterial small subunit ribosomal RNA". The record is from RNAcentral.
AGAGUUUGAUCCUGGCUCAGGAUGAACGCUGGCGGCGUGCCUAAUACAUGCAAGUCGAGCGAGAAUCAGAAGACCGGAGAUUCGUCAAAGUGAUUCUGAGGAAAGCGGCGGACGGGUGAGUAACGCGUAGGCAACCUGCCCUUAGCAGAGGGAUAGCCAUUGGAAACGAUGAUUAAAACCUCAUAAUGCUGCAGUAACACAUGUUAUUGCAGCCAAAGAUUUAUCGGCUAAGGAUGGGCCUGCGUCUGAUUAACUAGUUGGUGAGGUAACGGCUCACCAAGGUGACGAUCAGUAGCCGACCUGAGAGGGUGAUCGGCCACAUUGGAACUGAGACACGGUCCAAACUUCUACGGAAGGCAGCAGUAAGGAAUCUUGCACAAUGGGGGAAACCCUGAUGCAGCAACGCCGCGUGAACGAUGAAGGCCUUAGGGUUGUAAAGUUCUGAUCUGGGGGAAGAAGAAGUGACGGUACCCCAGGAGAAAGCCCCGGCUAAAUACGUGCCAGCAGCCGCGGUAAUACGUAUGGGGCAAGCGUUAUCCGGAAUUAUUGGGCGUAAAGAGUGCGUAGGUGGUUACCUAAGCGCAAGGUUUAAUCUUGAGGCUCAACCUCAUUCUGCCUUGCGAACUGGGCUACUUGAGUGCAGGAGGGGAAAGCGGAAUUCCCAGUGUAGCGGUGAAAUGCGUAGAUAUUGGGAAGAACACCGGUGGCGAAGGCGGCUUUCUGGACUGUAACUGACACCGAGGCACGAAAGCGUGGGGAGCAAACAGGAUUAGAUACCCUGGUAGUCCACGCCGUAAACGAUGAGCACUAGUUGUUGGGUACGAAUGUAUUCAGUGACGCAGUUAACGCAAUAAGUGCUCCGCCUGGGGAGUACGGUGGCAACACUAAAACUCAAAGGAAUUGACGGGGACCCGCACAAGCAGCGGAGCAUGUGGUUUAAUUCGAAGCAACGCGAAAAACCUUACCAGGGCUUGACAUCCCUCUGACCGGUCCUUAACCGGACCUUUCUUCGGACAGAGGUGACAGGUGGUGCAUGGUUGUCGUCAGCUCGUGUCGUGAGAUGUUGGGUUAAGUCCCGCAACGAGCGCAACCCUUGUCGUCAGUUACUAACAUUAAGUUGAGGACUCUGACGAGACUGCCGAGGUCAACUCGGAGGAAGGUGGGGAUGACGUCAAAUCAUCAUGCCCCUUAUGUUCUGGGCUACACACGUACUACAAUGGCGGCUAACAGAGGGGUGCAAAGCGGCGACGCGGAGCGAAUCCCUAAAAACCGUCUCAGUUCAGAUUGCAGGCUGCAACCCGCCUGCAUGAAGUCGGAAUUGCUAGUAAUCGCGGAUCAGCAUGCCGCGGUGAAUACGUUCCCGGGCCUUGUACACACCGCCCGUCACACCAUGAGAGUCGGGAACACCCGAAGUCUGUACUCUAACCGCAAGGAGGAGGCAGCCGAAGGUGGGUUCGAUAAUUGGGGUGAAGUCGUAACAAGGUAACC